Molecule: ribosomal RNA, 742 nt
Filed under: uncultured Streptococcus sp.
Lineage: Bacteria; Bacillati; Bacillota; Bacilli; Lactobacillales; Streptococcaceae
Description: bacterial SSU rRNA
Rfam family: Bacterial small subunit ribosomal RNA
Source: RNAcentral
ACGCUGGCGGCGUGCCUAAUACAUGCAAGUAGAACGCUGAAGGAGGAGCUUGCUUCUCUGGAUGAGUUGCGAACGGGUGAGUAACGCGUAGGUAACCUGCCUGGUAGCGGGGGAUAACUAUUGGAAACGAUAGCUAAUACCGCAUAAUAGCAGUUGUUGCAUGACAACUGUUUAAAAGGUGCAAUUGCAUCACUACCAGAUGGACCUGCGUUGUAUUAGCUAGUUGGUGGGGUAACGGCUCACCAAGGCGACGAUACAUAGCCGACCUGAGAGGGUGAUCGGCCACACUGGGACUGAGACACGGCCCAGACUCCUACGGGAGGCAGCAGUAGGGAAUCUUCGGCAAUGGACGGAAGUCUGACCGAGCAACGCCGCGUGAGUGAAGAAGGUUUUCGGAUCGUAAAGCUCUGUUGUAAGAGAAGAACGAGUGUGAGAGUGGAAAGUUCACACUGUGACGGUAUCUUACCAGAAAGGGACGGCUAACUACGUGCCAGCAGCCGCGGUAAUACGUAGGUCCCGAGCGUUGUCCGGAUUUAUUGGGCGUAAAGCGAGCGCAGGCGGUUAGAUAAGUCUGAAGUUAAAGGCUGUGGCUUAACCAUAGUACGCUUUGGAAACUGUUUAACUUGAGUGCAAGAGGGGAGAGUGGAAUUCCAUGUGUAGCGGUGAAAUGCGUAGAUAUAUGGAGGAACACCGGUGGCGAAAGCGGCUCUCUGGCUUGUAACUGACGCUGAGGCUCGAAAGC